RNAcentral lists this ribosomal RNA (460 nucleotides) under uncultured bacterium. Its description in RNAcentral is "partial 16S ribosomal RNA". It matches the Rfam family "Bacterial small subunit ribosomal RNA", at positions 338 to 795 of the family's 1533-position model. The record is from RNAcentral.
CCUACGGGGGGCAGCAGUGAGGAAUAUUGGUCAAUGGGCUUACGCCUGAACCAGCCAAGUCGCGUGAGUGAAGAAUGCCCUAUGGGUUGUAAACCUCUUUUUUCAGGGAGCAACGCCGUCUACGUGUAGCCGGACUGAUAGUACCUAACUAAAAAGCAUCGGCUAACUCCUUACCAGCCGCCGCGGUCAUACGGAGUAUGCUAGCGUUAUCCGUAUUUAUUGGGUUUAAAGGGUGCGUAGGCGGACUUCCAAGUUGGCGGUAAACUCGCGGGGCUAAACCGAGCUGCGCCGUUGAAACUGGGGGGCUUGAGUGGGCGAGAAGUAUGCGGAAUGCGUGGUGUAGCGGUGAAAUGCAUAGAUAUAACGCAGAACUCCGAUUGCGAAGGCAGCAUACCGGUGCCUAACUGACGCUGAAGCACGAAAGCGUGGGUAUCGAACAGGAUUAGAUACCCUAGUAGUA